CCUACGGGUGGCAGCAGUGAGGAAUAUUGGUCAAUGGACGAGAGUCUGAACCAGCCAAGUAGCGUGAAGGAUGACUGCCCUAUGGGUUGUAAACUUCUUUUAUAUGGGAAUAAAAUGUUCCACGUGUGGGAUUUUGUAUGUACCAUAUGAAUAAGGAUCGGCUAACUCCGGGCCAGCAGCCGCGGUAAUACGGAGGAUCCGAGCGUUAUCCGGAUUUAUUGGGUUUAACGGGAGCGUAGGUGGAUUGUUAAGUCAGUUGUGAAAGUUUGCGGCUCAACCGUAAAAUUGCAGUUGAAACUGGCAAGCUUGAGUACAGUAGAGGUGGGCGGAAUUCGUGGUGUAGCGGUGAAAUGCUUAGAUAUCACGAAGAACACCGAUUGCGAAGGCAGUUCACUGGACUGCAACUGACACUGAGGCUCGAAAGUGUGGGUAUCAAACAGGAUUAGAUACCCGUGUAGUC
This 460-nucleotide ribosomal RNA is filed under the name uncultured bacterium. Its description in RNAcentral is "partial 16S ribosomal RNA". It matches the Rfam family "Bacterial small subunit ribosomal RNA", at positions 338 to 795 of the family's 1533-position model. The record is from RNAcentral.